GGGCCUCAGGUUGGACGCAAGCCAAAGACCCCGGAGCCCGGAUUACCCCGCCUCGCGAAGGGCGCCCGUGUUCUGCCUGCUUUUAUGGCUGCAUACCAUGUGCAUACAGUGUCUGGGAGGCCAGACGAGGGCACCAGAAACUGGAGUUACAGAACGUUAUGAGCAAGUCUGUCCGAGAACAACUGGAGUGAGCAGGUUCUCUCUUUUCCCCACAUGGAUCCCAGCUAUCAACUCAGGUUGGUAAGUCUUACACUGUGGGAAGGGGAGCUUCAGACUAACACUAAGCAAGUCUAAAAUACCAGAAAACGCAUGCUUCAGCUCUGACCAGCAUUUGAGAAAGACAGAGGAGAGAAAAAUAAGAAAAAGGGGAAGCCAUCUUAUCAUCUCCUUUAUUGAAAGAGGAAAAAAAUGGGGUAGGGGUGUUUUAGUUGCUGUUCCAUUGCUGUGAAGAGAUACCAUGACCAUGGCAACUCUUAUAAAAGUAAGUAUUUAAUUUAAGUGCCAGAGGUUUAGUUUAUUGUUAUCAUGGCAUGCAGGCAGACAUGGUGCUAGGGAAGCACAGGUUCUACAUGUGGAUCAGCAGGCAUCAGGAAGAAGGAGACACUGGGGCUGGCUUGGGCUUUUGAGACCCCAAAGCCUACCUACCCCAACUGACAUACUUCCCUCAGCAAGACCAUACCUAAUCUCUCUCAAAUAGUGCCGUUCUCUAAAGACCAAGCAUUCAAAAAAAAAAAAAAAAAAAAAGAGCCUACGGGAGUAUUCCUGUUCAAACCACCACACUUAGCAACCUUCAAAAGCCACCAAAAUCCAAAAUUGUAUAUAUAGUGACUGCUAAGACACAAGGGCAAUCUCCUUUCAGAAGCCCUGUCUGUUGGAGGCAUGGACCUGAUUCCCCAUUGUAGUAUCCUGGACACCUGUUGAAGUAUCCAUUUUUUUUUUCUGUCCUGUGGCAAAGCACCAAAUGGGGGCACAUGGUUGAAAAUAGAAAUAGAGCCAGUUUAUUAGGAAAGGAAAAGCAUUCCUGAGAAUGGGAGAGGCCUUGUGAGCCAA
RNAcentral lists this small RNA (1050 nucleotides) under Rattus norvegicus (Norway rat). RNAcentral's name for it is "uncharacterized LOC102549242". Lineage: Eukaryota; Metazoa; Chordata; Mammalia; Rodentia; Muridae. The record is from RNAcentral.